AUUGAACGCUGGCGGCAUGCUUUACACAUGCAAGUCGAACGGUAAGGCCCUUCGGGGUACACGAGUGGCGAACGGGUGAGUAACACGUGGGUGAUCUGCCCUGCACUUCGGGAUAAGCCUGGGAAACUGGGUCUAAUACCGGAUAGGACUCCGGACUGCAUGGUCUGGGGUGGAAAGCUUUUGCGGUGUGGGAUGGGCCCGCGGCCUAUCAGCUUGUUGGUGGGGUGAUGGCCUACCAAGGCGACGACGGGUAGCCGGCCUGAGAGGGUGACCGGCCACACUGGGACUGAGAUACGGCCCAGACUCCUACGGGAGGCAGCAGUGGGGAAUAUUGCUCAAUGGGCGUAAGCCUGAUGCAGCGACGCCGCGCGAGGGAUGACGGCCUUCGGGUUGUAAACCUCUUUCAGCAUCGACGAAGCGAAAGUGACGGUAGGUGCAGAAGAAGGACCGGCCAACUACGUGCCAGCCGCCGCGGUAA
Molecule: ribosomal RNA, 478 nt
Filed under: uncultured bacterium
Lineage: Bacteria
Description: partial 16S ribosomal RNA
Rfam family: Bacterial small subunit ribosomal RNA
Source: RNAcentral